CGGAAUUAUUGGGUUUAAAGGGUCCGUAGGCGGAUUUUUAAGUCAGAGGUGAAAGCCUACAGCUUAACUGUGGAACUGCCUUUGAUACUGGUAUUCUUGAGUAUAAUUGAAGUGGGCGGAAUAUGUGGUGUAGCGGUGAAAUGCAUAGAUAUCACAUGGAACACCAAUUGCGAAGGCAGCUCACUGGACCAUUACUGACGCUCAUGAACGAAAGCGUGGGGAGCGAACAGGAUUAGAUACCCUGGUAGUCCACGCCGUAAACGAUGAUCACUAGAUGUUGGGGAUAUAUUUCCGUGUUUAAGCAAAAGCGUUAAGUGAUCCACCUGGGGAGUACGGUCGCCAGAAUGAAACUCAAAGGAAUUGACGG
This 367-nucleotide ribosomal RNA is filed under the name uncultured bacterium. RNAcentral describes it as "bacterial SSU rRNA". It matches the Rfam family "Bacterial small subunit ribosomal RNA", at positions 546 to 916 of the family's 1533-position model. The record is from RNAcentral.